Molecule: non-coding RNA, 503 nt
Organism: Peromyscus maniculatus bairdii (prairie deer mouse)
Lineage: Eukaryota; Metazoa; Chordata; Mammalia; Rodentia; Cricetidae
Source: RefSeq, a predicted model, not a curated record
AGCUGCAGUUGAGACAGAAGAUUCAGGAAGCUGCAAUAUCAACCUGUUGAAGAUGAAUGUAGGCACAAAGCUGCCCUGGAAAUGUUUAAGCGCUUCAGACAAAUGAAGCGAGACAAACUUAUUCAACAUUGGAGUGUUGUGAGGCAUAAAACUAAGAAGAAUGGAGAGCAAAGGGCACAUUUGGUCAUUCACCUCAAUUGAGGGGAGAAAAGGAUGCUGGUAAAAGUGGCAAGCAUGCAUGUCCUCUACUACUCAAGGACUGUCAUUCAAGCAGAGGACACUGCAAAGGUCUGAAUGAUCAACUGAGAGCCACUUACAGCUACAGUGCUCUACUAAGUGCUCUACAUCCUGCAUACAUCUCUCGAGUACCAGUUCAAUGUUAAGGCUGACACUAGAGAAUCUGAAGCACCCAGGAGCUGCACUCUCCAUCUCUGAGAUGAAGAAAUGUAAAUACAGAGCAUCAAAGUACAGUUUUCAAGCUUCUACAGUAAGUGCCAGAGGUA